RNAcentral lists this long non-coding RNA (510 nucleotides) under Chinchilla lanigera (long-tailed chinchilla). RNAcentral's name for it is "lncRNA (ENSCLAG00000022814.1)". The record is from RNAcentral. Lineage: Eukaryota; Metazoa; Chordata; Mammalia; Rodentia; Chinchillidae.
CAGUAAUUGUGACAUAUUUUUUCACUCAGACACUACAUUUCUCCCAACAGGUUCCUCCAUGAUGGUCCCAGAACAUGGAGAUCUGGGUAGAAAAUCCAGAAAGGGAACUGAGGACUGAGCAAUGGGAAGUGGGCUCAGAGGCAAUGACAUCUGGGAGUACAGACAAACUCACCGAUUCAGGAUCAGUCUGAUUCACUUUCUUCCGGGUAUGACUUUUUAAAAAAAUAAAGAUUAGUAUUGUAAGAGUAAUAAAGAAGUCUUAACAUAAACAAAUACGUGGAAGAAGAUUCAUUCAAAAAAUAAACAUUCCUAGUAAGGUACAAAUAAAUAGUAUUCAACCCUUCUUAAAAGUAUGAACUGAAAGAUGAGGAUGACAGCUUUGGACAGCAGAGAAGUUGAAAGAGGCUCAAAACACCUUGGUAGACUCUUAGAGGAAAUGUAAACCACACAUUCAUCUAGAUUUACUUCCCUGUUUUGUCAUCCGUGUUAAAAGUAUACAUUACAAUGGAG